RNAcentral lists this ribosomal RNA (446 nucleotides) under uncultured bacterium. RNAcentral's name for it is "partial 16S ribosomal RNA". It matches the Rfam family "Bacterial small subunit ribosomal RNA", at positions 330 to 794 of the family's 1533-position model. The record is from RNAcentral.
UCCAGACUCCUACGGGAGGCAGCAGUGGGGGAUAUUGCACAAUGGGGGAAACCCUGAUGCAGCGACGCCGCGUGAGUGAAGAAGUAAUUCGUUACGUAAAGCUCUAUCAGCAGGGAAGAAAAUGACGAUACCUGACUAAGAAGCCCCGGCUAACUACGUGCCAGCAGCCGCGGUAAUACGUAGGGGGCAAGCGUUAUCCGGAUUUAUUGGGUUUAAAGGGUGCGCAGGCGGAUUUUUAAGUCAGCGGUCAAAUCGUGGGGCUCAACCCCAUCCAGCCGUUGAAACUGGGGAUCUAGAGUGUGCGAGAGGUAUGCGGAAUGCGUGGUGUAGCGGUGAAAUGCAUAGAUAUCACGCAGAACCCCGAUUGCGAAGGCAGCAUACCGGUGCACAACUGACGCUCAGGCACGAAAGCGUGGGUAUCGAACAGGAUUAGAUACCCCAGUAAU